AUGGCGGCCACCGCGAGGGGAAGCGUGGGGGAGAUCCGGGCGGCCGACGUGGAGGCGGCCGGGCUCGCCGCGGCCGACGCGGCGGCCUUCCUCGCCGCGCUCCGCUCGGCGGCCGGCGAAGACGGCGGCGACGCGGCCGCCGCGUGGGCGGCGGUCGUGGCGGCGGGGGUGCUGCGGCCGGACCACCCGCACGCGCUCCACCAGCUCGUGUACUACUCCGUCUACGCCGGCUGGGACCGCGCCGGCCGGGGCCCGCCGCCCUACUGGUUCCCGUCGCCGAUUGACUGCAAGCAAACGAAUCUUGGGAGAGUGAUGGAAGAAAAUGGACCCAAGCUGUUAGGAGCAUCCUAUAAGGAUCCAGUUUCAAGCUUUCGCCUCUUCCACAAAUUCUCUGUUCAUAAUCAGGAGGUCUACUGGAAAAUAGUGCUGAAGGAGCUCUCCAUCAAGUUUGUACGAGAACCAACAUCGAUUCUAGAUGCGUCAGAUAAAUCAAAGAAGGGAGGAACAUGGUUCCCAGGUGCAGUGCUCAACAUUGCUGAAUGUUGUCUGCUACCUUGGCCCUCCCAGAACAAGACAGAUGAUAGCACAGCUAUUGUCUGGAGGGAUGAGGGCUUUGACGAUUACCCAGUGAACCGUAUGUCGUUGAAGGAGCUUCGCACCCAAGUGAUGACUGUCGCAAAUGCCCUUGAUACCAUGUUCCAAAAGGGCGACCGGAUUGCAAUAGACAUGCCAAUGACGUGCAAUGCGGUCAUUGUUUAUUUGGCAAUCAUCCUUGGAGGCUUUGUUGUUGUGGGAAUAGCAGACAGUUUUGCACCUCAGGAGAUUGGCACUCGCAUGAGGGUCGCAAAAGCAAAGGCAAUUUUUACUCAGGAUUUCAUAAUUCGGGGAGGGAAGAAAUUUCCACUUUACAGCCGUGUCAUGGAAGGGACUUCAGCUAAAGCUAUUGUUAUUCCUGCAACUGGAGACCUUCUUGGAGUUACACCAAGGAAUGGUGAUAUGUCCUGGAAAGAUUUUCUUUCUCGUUCUGCUGGAAGGUCAUCCAUGUACUCUCCAGUUUAUCAAUCUGCAGACGCCCUAAUUAAUAUUCUGUUUUCAUCAGGAACAACUGGGGAGCCAAAAGCUAUACCAUGGACACAACUUUGUCCCAUAAGAUGUGGAGCUGAUACCUGGGGACAUUUGGAUGUUCGCCCAAAGGACAUAGGCUGCUGGCCUACAAAUCUGGGUUGGGUUAUGGGACCUAUUCAACUGUUCUCAUCCUUUCUAAAUGGUGCGACAUUGGCUUUAUAUCAUGGUUCUCCUCUUGGACGUGGCUUCUGCAAAUUUGUCCAGGAUGCCCGUGUGAGUGUAUUAGGAUCUGUGCCUAGCUUGGUGAAAUCAUGGAAGGCUGGUAAUCUUACUGAAGGGCUAGACUGGACCAAAAUCAGGGUACUUGCCACAACAGGGGAGGCUUCUGAUAUUGAUGAUAAUCUGUGGCUAUCUUCGCGUACCUGUUACAAACCCAUUGUUGAGUGCUGUGGUGGCACAGAGCUGGCAUCCUCAUACAUUCAAGGGAGUCUUCUGCAGCCACAAGCUUUUGGAGCUUUCAGUGGUGCAUCAAUGUCCACUGGGUUUGUCAUACUUGAUGAACAGGGAAAUCCAUAUCCUGAUGAUCUACCUUGUUCUGGAGAAGUGGGUCUCUUCCCUUUAUAUUUUGGUGCUACCAAUCGGCUUCUCAAUGCUGACCACGAUAAGGUUUACUUCGAUGGAAUGCCCAUUUACAGAGGACGGCAACUCCGACGACAUGGAGAUAUAAUCCAGAGGACAGUAGGUGGUUACUAUAUCGUGCAGGGCAGAGCAGACGACACUAUGAAUCUUGGAGGGAUCAAGACAAGUUCAGUGGAGAUCGAACGGGUUUGUAAUGGAGCCGAUGAGGGUCUGCUAGAAACAGCAGCUGUUGGCAUCAAACCUUCCGGCGGGGGACCAGAACAACUGGCUAUCUUGGCAGUGCUAAAAGAUAGAUCGGCACCAUAUGAUGCAAAUAUUUUGAAGGGAAAGUUCCAAAGAGCCAUCCAGAAGAACCUCAAUCCCCUUUUCAGGGUGAGCUAUGUCAAAGUCGUCCCCGAGUUCCCGAGAACUGCUUCAAACAAGCUGCUGAGAAGGGUCCUGAGGGAUCAGUUGAAGCAAGAGCUCGCGAAUCGCAGCAAGCUAUAA
This 2190-nucleotide ribosomal RNA is filed under the name Triticum aestivum (bread wheat). RNAcentral describes it as "partial small subunit ribosomal RNA". The record is from RNAcentral. Lineage: Eukaryota; Viridiplantae; Streptophyta; Magnoliopsida; Poales; Poaceae.